RNAcentral lists this long non-coding RNA (611 nucleotides) under Oncorhynchus mykiss (rainbow trout). Its description in RNAcentral is "lncRNA (ENSOMYG00000055112.1)". The record is from RNAcentral. Lineage: Eukaryota; Metazoa; Chordata; Actinopteri; Salmoniformes; Salmonidae.
AUAUAUAUAUAUAUAUAUAUAUAUAUAUAUAUAUAUAUAUAUAUAUACAUAUAUAUACAUAUAUAUAUAUAUAUAUAUAGUGAGGAAAUAAAUAUUUAACAACCAGGGCAAAAUGUAAAUUUUCCAUCAUUAUUGAAUUUAUUGAAGAAAUAAGGAGAUAUCAGGAAUAACCAGCAGACACAGGACAGUAUAUUCAGGGAGACACAUGGGAACCCAGGAGCAGUUACAUGCUGUUAUAUCAGGAAUAACCAGCAGACACAGGGAGACACAUGGGAACCCAGGAGCAGUUACAUGCUGUUAUAUCAGGAAUAACCAGCAGACACACAGGACAGUAUAUUCAGGGAGACACAUGGGAACACAGGAGCAGUUACAUGCUUUUAGUGGUUUUGGUCCGACUGUAGUCGGCCUUCCACAGUUGAUUACAGCUCCUUCAAUAUCAGUGUGUUGAAUUAGAAAGACAACCCUCCAUUCUGAUAAAACCACAAAUUAUACAGAGGGAAAAACCCCCGGACGUUUAACAAUUCUCCCGAUUCAUAAAACGUCUCAAUUCUGACACAACCAGCUAAAAAGAAAACAGUUAAUUGUAAUUUAUUAAAAGUGCCGUUAGCUAA